CUGGCUCGAUUGAACGCUGGCGGGAUGCUUAUUACGCAAGUCGAACGGGCAGCACGGACUUCGGUCUGCGGCGAGUGGCGAACGGGUGAGUAAUGUAUCGGAACGUGCCUAGUAGCGGGGGAUAACUACGCGAAAGCGUAGCUAAUACCGCAUACGCCCUUCGGGCGGGGACCUCGGGCCUCGCACUAUUAGAGCGGCCGAUAUCGGAUUAGCUAGUUGGUGGGGUAACGGCUCACCAAGGCGACGAUCCGUAGCUGGUUGGUGAGAUCACCAGCCACACUGGGACUGAGACACGGCCCAGACUCCUACGGGAGGCAAGGUGGGGAAUUUUUGGAUAAUGGGAAACCCCUGAUCCAGCCAUCCCGCGUGUGCGAUGAAGGCUCUCGGGUUGUAAAGCACUUUUGGCAGGAGAAGAAAACGGCACGGGAUAAUACCCCGUGCAACUGACGGUACCUGCAGAAUAAGCACCGGCUAACACGCCAGCAGCCGCGGUAAUACGUAGGGGUGCAAGCGUUAAUCGGAAUUACUAAGGAAGCGUGCGCAGGCGGUUCGAGAAAGAUGUGAAAUCCCAGAGCUUAACUUUGGAACUGCAUUUUUAACUACCGAGCUAGAGUGUGUCAGAGGGAGGUGGAAUUCGCGUGUAGCAGUGAAAUGCGUAGAUAUGCGGAGGAACACCGAUGGCGAAGGCAGCCUCCUGGGAUAACACUGACGCUCAUGCACGAAAGCGGGGAGCAAACAGGAUUAGAUACCCUGGUAGUCCACGCCCUAAACGAUGUCAACUAGCUGUUGGGGCCUUCUGGCCUUGGUAGCGCAGCUAACGGGUGUGAAGUUGACCGCCUGGGGAGUACGGUCGCAAGAUUAAACUCAAAGGAAUUGACGGGGACCCACGCGGUGGAUGGUGUGGAUUACUCGAUGCACAAACCUGCCCACCUUUGACAUAAAGCUCCGAACCCGAGAGAUUGGGAGUGCUGCGGAGAACCGGAACCACAGCCGGCAUGAUGUCAUCAAAGCUUGAGAUGUUAGUUGUCUCCGCUGCACGAAAACCCUUUGUCACAUUGCUACGAAAGAGCACCUAACGAGACUGCCGCACAACCGGAGGAAGGUGGGAUGACGUCAAGUCCUCAUGGCCCUUAUGGGUAGGGCUUCACACGUCAUACAAUGGUCGGGACAGAGGGUCGCCAACCCGCGAGGGGAGCCAAUCCCAGAAACCCGAUCGUAGUCCGGAUCGCAGUCUGCAACUCGGACUGCGUGAAGUCGGAAUCGCUAGUAAUCGCGGGAUCAGCAUGUCGCGGUGAAUACGUUCCCGGGUCUUGUACACACCGCCCGUCACACCAUGGGAGUGGGUUUUAACAGAAGUGGCCUAACCGUAAGGGAGGGCGAUUACCACGGUAGGAUUCAUGACUGGGGUGAAGUCGUAACAAGGUAA
RNAcentral lists this ribosomal RNA (1426 nucleotides) under uncultured Bordetella sp. RNAcentral's name for it is "partial 16S-23S ribosomal RNA intergenic spacer". It matches the Rfam family "Bacterial small subunit ribosomal RNA". Lineage: Bacteria; Pseudomonadati; Pseudomonadota; Betaproteobacteria; Burkholderiales; Alcaligenaceae. The record is from RNAcentral.